CAAGUCGAACGCGAAAGUUCCCUUCGGGGAGCGAGUAGAGUGGCGCACGGGUGAGUAACACGUAGGUAAUCUACCUUCGGAUGGGGAAUAACAACCGGAAACGGUUGCUGAUACCGCAUAAUGCAGCGGCACCUAAUGGUGACAGUUGUUAAAGCGGGGGAUCGCAAGACCUCGCGUCUGAAGAGGAGCCUGCGGCGGAUUAGCUAGUUGGUAGGGUAACGGCUUACCAAGGCGAUGAUCCGUAGCCGGCCUGAGAGGGCGGUCGGCCACACUGACACUGACAUACGGGUCAGACUCCUACGGGAGGCAGCAGUCGGGAAUUUUGGGCAAUGGGCGAAAGCCUGACCCAGCAACGCCGCGUGAAGGAUGAAAUCCUUCGGGAUGUAAACUUCGCAAGAACGGGAAGAAUAAGUAAGAGUUAAUAUCUCUUACGAUGACGGUACUGUUUGUAAGCUCCGGCUAACUCCGUGCCAGCAGCCGCGGUAAUACGGGGGGAGCAAGCGUUGUUCGGAUUUACUGGGCGUAAAGGGCGCGUAGGCGGCCACCGCAAGUCGAUUGUGAAAUCUCCGGGCUUAACCCGGAAAGGUCAACCGAUACUGCGGGGCUAGAGUGCAGAAGGGGCAACUGGAAUUCUCGGUGUAGCGGUGAAAUGCGUAGAUAUCGAGAGGAACACCUGCGGCGAAGGCGGGUUGCUGGGCUGACACUGACGCUGAUGUGCGAAAGCUAGGGGAGCGAACGGGAUUAGAUACCCCGGUAGUCCUAGCCUUAAACGAUGAAUGCUUGGUGUCUGGGGUUUUAUAGUCCCCGGGUGCCGUCGCUAACGCUUUAAGCAUUCCGCCU
This 840-nucleotide ribosomal RNA is filed under the name uncultured Actinomycetes bacterium. Its description in RNAcentral is "bacterial SSU rRNA". It matches the Rfam family "Bacterial small subunit ribosomal RNA", at positions 58 to 874 of the family's 1533-position model. The record is from RNAcentral. Lineage: Bacteria; Bacillati; Actinomycetota; Actinomycetes.